RNAcentral lists this ribosomal RNA (1249 nucleotides) under Triticum aestivum (bread wheat). RNAcentral describes it as "partial small subunit ribosomal RNA". Lineage: Eukaryota; Viridiplantae; Streptophyta; Magnoliopsida; Poales; Poaceae. The record is from RNAcentral.
GGGUCCAUUGCAGAUGUAAUGGUCGGCCCAUCCAAAAACAUAUAGGCUCAAUGCCUUGGAACUCAACCGAUAUUAUAUAGUGGUAUUAACCAAAAUCUAAAACAAUAAACCUGAUGGCUUGUGUUCAAGUAAUAUUAAGUCUGAUGAUGCAUUUGCCAAUAAAAGAAACUAGAAGGGCUUAGACUCAAAUGGCCGAAGGGAUAAGGUUCCCUAUCGUCAUCCACUCAUCCUCGAUGCAUCACAAACCCAUCGAUUUGUUUAGUUCUGCACAGAGGCACCGAUGCUGCGGUUCAUGGCGCCGCCGGCCGUAGCCAGAGGGCUUGCUCGUACAACGCCACGCGCCAGAGGGCGUUGCCGGCCGUCGGUUUCUGCGCCGUGCCGGAGGACGUCGCCUCCACUGCCGCUCAUGGUGCGCUCACGCCGAAGGGCUGGAUAGCCGCGUCGUGGUUGGUCGCUCCGUGGGAGCCGCCCUGAGGUCGAGAGCCUCGGAUGAUGGCCAUGUGGCGGGCUCGUCGCUGUGCGCCGAGGAUUCAGACCGAUGGAGGGCGCCGCCGGGGUGCGUCGGGCGCAGAGGGUGUCGCCUCUGCCUGGGCUGUGGACCGCGCUGCCGCGCGCCUGAGGGCAUUGCCAUGCCGGGCACCGGCCGUUGGCCGCUGCGGCCGCCUCCGGGUGCAGGCUGGGAGCAGCCGGGCCGAAGGUUUCCGCCGCUCCGCUAGGAGCCUGGCCGAGGCAGCGUUGUCCGGGCCAUGGGUCGCCGCCGAAGUUUGCCUUGGACGGCAUGCAAACGACGCCCUGGAGAUCGAGAGAUUCGCCGCGCCUGGGCCGUGAACGCCUCGGGCUGAUGCGGGAGGUCGAGGCCACGCGACCACGCGCCGGCUGGAGACUUGCGCCGCCGUGCCGUUCUGCAGCGUGAGGCGUGCACGCAUCACGCACCGGUGGGCUUGGACUGUCGCCAGUUCCGCGUUGCUCGCAGGCGAGCCGUUCGUGAAAACGCUCCGCCGGGGACAACGCGAUGCGUCAAAGAGGUCUGGGCUCGCACUCGUUCGGCUGUCUCUCGGCCAUCAAAGACAUCGCCGGUGACGGAUUGAUAGUGUGCGGGCGCCGCCGGCGCUGCCAGUUUGUUUAGUGGCCUAAUCGCUUGCUCGGGUCGGGUUAGGGCAAAGGGCUGAUAACAUGUUGAAUGUAAAAGUGAUUGAAUGAAGGAAAGGCUCCUGAUUUCAUUGAUUCUCAAGAUAUAUAUACACUCGGU